CAACAUGCAAACUCCUGUCAUUCUGUUC
This 28-nucleotide non-coding RNA is filed under the name Homo sapiens (human). Lineage: Eukaryota; Metazoa; Chordata; Mammalia; Primates; Hominidae. The record is from RNAcentral.